This is a long non-coding RNA of Cucumis melo (muskmelon), 513 nucleotides long. RefSeq lists it as uncharacterized. The transcript is spliced from 2 exons. The record is from RefSeq and is a predicted model, not a curated record. NCBI's taxonomy places the organism in Eukaryota, Viridiplantae, Streptophyta, Magnoliopsida, Cucurbitales, Cucurbitaceae.
UUUCUUAAGCUUUGUUUUCGUGAGCGUCAUCUUUGGUGCGACAUGUUAUGUAUAUCUUUAGGAAACCAGAAUGUUUAGGGUUUUAAUACUCGGUUGGGUUGUUGGCAGGCCGAGAAGAAUUAAACCGAGCUUAUAGACCAAGGAUCUAGCUCAAGACUGUAGAGAUCGACUUCUCGGUGCCUGAUAGACUGCCUUAGUCUGCGGAAGCUUCAUUAUCGAUUGCCAGUACGUGUUUUGAGUUGGGCAUAAAGUCUGUUGUGUUGUGAUGUAUUCACACCCUUGUAUGUUAUAGAUACUCCACAGUUUGUAUAAGCUUUAGGAGCUGUAGUUGUGUAAAUUUUGUUGGUUAUAUUUUGAUUAAGGUGUCUUUAGGUUUACUCGUGAAAUCGGUAAAUUUUGAGGUACACUUCAUGUAUGUGUUUGACUAGCUGUGUUUGACUAGCCUAGGAUCCGCUGUGUUUUGUGGCAUGUACAAUAGUUUAUAUACUAGAUUGGCAAGUUCAUCACAUAAAA